Molecule: ribosomal RNA, 234 nt
Filed under: uncultured bacterium
Lineage: Bacteria
Description: partial 16S ribosomal RNA
Rfam family: Bacterial small subunit ribosomal RNA
Source: RNAcentral
UGAGUAACCUGCCCUUAACUCUGGGAUAAGCCUGGGAAACUGGGUCUAAUACCGGAUAUGACUCCUCAUCGCAUGGUGGGGGGUGGAAAGCUUUAUUGUGGUUUUGGAUGGACUCGCGGCCUAUCAGCUUGUUGGUGAGGUAAUGGCUCACCAAGGCGACGACGGGUAGCCGGCCUGAGAGGGUGACCGGCCACACUGGGACUGAGAUACGGCCCAGACUCCUAUGGGAGGCAG